ACUACAUACAUUGAAUCAGGUAAAGCUGAACAAAAAAGCUUUUUAAAAGGGCAAGCUGGUGCAAGUCCAGCGCGGUCCCGCCACUGUAAGUGAAAUAGAUCUAUUUCACAAGCCAGAAAACCUGCCUGAUUUAGAGCACCGGU
Molecule: non-coding RNA, 143 nt
Filed under: Bacillus sp. (in: firmicutes)
Lineage: Bacteria; Bacillati; Bacillota; Bacilli; Caryophanales; Bacillaceae
Also listed under: 1 other name
Source: RNAcentral